RNAcentral lists this transfer RNA (72 nucleotides) under Pseudomonadota bacterium. RNAcentral's name for it is "tRNA-Val". It matches the Rfam family "tRNA". From Rfam's summary of the family: Transfer RNA (tRNA) molecules are approximately 80 nucleotides in length. The record is from RNAcentral. Lineage: Bacteria; Pseudomonadati; Pseudomonadota. RNAcentral also lists the same sequence under 4 other names.
GGGCGGUUAGCUCAAUGGUAGAGCAUCUCGUUUACACCGAGGAGGUUAGAGGUUCGAGUCCUCUAUCGCCCA